UACGGAGGGGGCAAGCGUUGUCCGGACUUACUGGGCGUAAAGGGCGCGUAGGCGGCCUGCUAAGUCGAACGUGAAAUCCCCGGGCUUAACCCGGGAACUGCGUCCGAUACUGGUUGGCUUGAAUUCGGGAGAGGGAUGCGGAAUUCCAGGUGUAGCGGUGAAAUGCGUAGAUAUCGUAAGGAAGACCAGUGGCGAAGGCGGGUCUCUGGACAGUUCCUGACGCUGAGGCACGAAGGCCAGGGGAGCAAACGGG
This 253-nucleotide ribosomal RNA is filed under the name uncultured bacterium. RNAcentral's name for it is "partial 16S ribosomal RNA". It matches the Rfam family "Bacterial small subunit ribosomal RNA", at positions 524 to 776 of the family's 1533-position model. The record is from RNAcentral.